UCCAGCGGCAGUCAGCUGUGCAGGCCUGAACUGUGCCUGAGCUAGUGUUACUCUGCUGGAAAAGAAAGGCACUGCUGUUUAGGCUGUGUUCAGGGCUUGCUGUUUUAGCAGUCUUGUAGCACGGCCGUGGUAGAGUCUUGUCCACUUGAGAGUGGGCUGCUCACUUAAACCCAUGUGGGCCGCCCUAGUCUGUGGGCAAACAUU
Small nucleolar RNA from Ictalurus punctatus (channel catfish), 204 nucleotides. Its record names the gene SNORA74. It matches the Rfam family "Small nucleolar RNA SNORA74". Rfam says of the family: U19 belongs to the H/ACA class of snoRNAs. snoRNAs bind a number of proteins (including dyskerin, Gar1p and Nop10p in the case of the H/ACA class) to form snoRNP complexes. This class are thought to guide the sites of modification of uridines to pseudouridines by forming direct base pairing interactions with substrate RNAs. NCBI's taxonomy places the organism in Eukaryota, Metazoa, Chordata, Actinopteri, Siluriformes, Ictaluridae. The record is from Ensembl.